This 279-nucleotide ribosomal RNA is filed under the name uncultured bacterium. RNAcentral describes it as "partial 16S ribosomal RNA". It matches the Rfam family "Bacterial small subunit ribosomal RNA", at positions 506 to 784 of the family's 1533-position model. The record is from RNAcentral.
UGCCAGCAGCCGCGGUAAUACAGAGGGUGCAAGCGUUAAUCGGAAUUACUGGGCGUAAAGCGCGCGUAGGUGGAUGUUUAAGUCGGAUGUGAAAGCCCCGGGCUCAACCUGGGAACGGCAUUCGAUACUGGGCAUCUAGAGUAUGGUAGAGGGAAGUGGAAUUUCCGGAGUAGCGGUGAAAUGCAUAGAUACCGGAAGGAACACCAGUGGCGAAGGCGGCUUCCUGGGCCAAUACUGACGCUGAGGUGCGAAAGCGUGGGGAGCAAACAGGAUUAGAUA